AGCGAACGCUGGCGGCAGGCUUAACACAUGCAAGUCGAACGGGCACUUCGGUGCUAGUGGCAGACGGGUGAGUAACACGUGGGAACGUACCUUUCUGUUCGGAAUAAUCCAGGGAAACUUGGACUAAUACCGGAUACGCCCUUCGGGGGAAAGAUUCAUAGCCGAUAGAUCGGCCCGCGUCUGAUUAGCUAGUUGGUGAGGUAAUGGCUCACCAAGGCGACGAUCAGUAGCUGGUCUGAGAGGAUGAUCAGCCACAUUGGGACUGAGACACGGCCAAAACUCCUACGGGAGGCAGCAGUGGGGAAUAUUGGACAAGGGGCGCAAGCCUGAUCCAGCCAUGCCGCGUGAGUGAUGAAGGCCUUAGGGUUGUAAAGCUCUUUUGUCCGGGAAGAUAAUGACUGUACCGGAAGAAUAAGCCCCGGCUAACUUCGUG
Molecule: ribosomal RNA, 433 nt
Filed under: uncultured bacterium
Lineage: Bacteria
Description: partial 16S ribosomal RNA
Rfam family: Bacterial small subunit ribosomal RNA
Source: RNAcentral